Molecule: non-coding RNA, 95 nt
Organism: Acanthosepion pharaonis
Lineage: Eukaryota; Metazoa; Mollusca; Cephalopoda; Sepiida; Sepiidae
Source: the annotation of a GenBank genome assembly
GAACACUCGUUCUCGUAAGAUCACCGAAUUUAAGCAACGUCGACCUUGAUUAGUAACUAGAUGAGAGACCGCUUGGGAAAGCCAGCUGCUGUAAG